GACGAACGCUGGCGGCGUGCUUAACACAUGCAAGUCGAACGGUGAAGCGCCUUCCUUUUUGGUGGGUGUGGAUGAGUGGCGAACGGGUGAGUAACACGUGAGUAACCUGCCCCCUUCUUCUGGAUAACCGCAUGAAAGUGUGGCUAAUACGGGAUAUUCUGGGUCUGUCGCAUGAUGGGUCUGGGAAAGAUAUUGUUUCGGUGGGGGAUGGGCUCGCGGCCUAUCAGCUUGUUGGUGGGGUGAUGGCCUACCAAGGCGGUGGCGGGUAGCCGGCCUGAGAGGGUGGACGGUCACACGGGGACUGAGACACGGCCCAGACUCCUAAGGGAGGCAGCAGUGGGGAAUAUUGCACAAUGGGCGCAAGCCUGAUGCAGCGACGCCGCGUGAGGGAUGGAGGCCUUCGGGUUGUGAACCUCUUUCGCCAGUGAAGCAGGCCUGCCUCGUUUGUGGGUGGGUUGACGGUAGCUGGAUAAGAAGCGCCGGCUAACUACGUG
Molecule: ribosomal RNA, 494 nt
Filed under: uncultured bacterium
Lineage: Bacteria
Description: partial 16S ribosomal RNA
Rfam family: Bacterial small subunit ribosomal RNA
Source: RNAcentral